AAAGCUUGCUUUCUUGCUGACGAGUGGCGGACGGGUGAGUAAUGCUUGGGAAUCUGGCUUAUGGAGGGGGAUAACGACGGGAAACUGUCGCUAAUACCGCGUAUUAUCGGAAGAUGAAAGUGCGGGACUGAGAGGCCGCAUGCCAUAGGAUGAGCCCAAGUGGGAUUAGGUAGUUGGUGGGGUAAAGGCCUACCAAGCCAGCGAUCUCUAGCUGGUCUGAGAGGAUGACCAGCCACACUGGAACUGAGACACGGUCCAGACUCCUACGGGAGGCAGCAGUGGGGAAUAUUGCGCAAUGGGGGGAACCCUGACGCAGCCAUGCCGCGUGAAUGAAGAAGGCCUUCGGGUUGUAAAGUUCUUUCGGUAUUGAGGAAGGUUGAUGUGUUAAUAGCACAUCAAAUUGACGUUAAAUACAGAAGAAGCACCGGCUAACUCCGUGCCAGCAGCCGCGGUAAUACGGAGGGUGCGAGCGUUAAUCGGAAUAACUGGGCGUAAAGGGCACGCAGGCGGUUAUUUAAGUGAGGUGUGAAAGCCCCGGGCUUAACCUGGGAAUUGCAUUUCAGACUGGGUAACUAGAGUACUUUAGGGAGGGGUAGAAUUCCACGUGUAGCGGUGAAAUGCGUAGAGAUGUGGAGGAAUACCGAAGGCGAAGGCAGCCCCUUGGGAAUGUACUGACGCUCAUGUGCGAAAGCGUGGGGAGCAAACAGGAUUAGAUACCCUGGUAGUCCACGCUGUAAACGCUGUCGAUUUGGGGGUUGGGGUUUAACUCUGGCGC
Molecule: ribosomal RNA, 775 nt
Filed under: uncultured Haemophilus sp.
Lineage: Bacteria; Pseudomonadati; Pseudomonadota; Gammaproteobacteria; Pasteurellales; Pasteurellaceae
Description: bacterial SSU rRNA
Rfam family: Bacterial small subunit ribosomal RNA
Source: RNAcentral